GACGGGGCCGCACAAGCGGUGGAGCAUGUGGUUAAUUCGACGCGACGCGAAGAACCUUACCAGGGCUUGACAUCCCCUGACCGCGUAUGAAAGUACGUUUUCACCCUCGGGUGACAGGGAGACAGGUGGUGCAUGGUUGUCGUCAGCUCGUGUCGUGAGAUGUUGGGUUAAGUCCCGCAACGAGCGCAACCCCUACGUUUAGUUGCUAACGCGUGAAGGCGAGCACUCUAGACGAACUGCCGUUGACAAAACGGAGGAAGGUGGGAUGACGUCAAAUCAUCAUGCCCCUUAUGUUCUGGGCUACACACGUGCUACAAUGGCCGGUACAGACGGACGCAAAGCCGCGAGGUGGAGCAAAUCCUAAAAAGCCGGUCUCAGUUCGGAUUGCAGGCUGCAAUUCGCCUGCAUGAAGUCGGAAUCGCUAGUAAUCGCAGGUCAGCAUACUGCGGUGAAUACGUUCCCGGGCCUU
Molecule: ribosomal RNA, 469 nt
Filed under: uncultured Pelotomaculum sp.
Lineage: Bacteria; Bacillati; Bacillota; Clostridia; Eubacteriales; Desulfotomaculaceae
Description: bacterial SSU rRNA
Rfam family: Bacterial small subunit ribosomal RNA
Source: RNAcentral